Molecule: unclassified non-coding RNA, 377 nt
Filed under: uncultured Actinomycetes bacterium
Lineage: Bacteria; Bacillati; Actinomycetota; Actinomycetes
Description: uncultured actinobacterium contains 16S-23S intergenic spacer region
Source: RNAcentral
UCCGAGUUGACCCCGGCAGUCUCCCACGAGUCCCCGGCAUAACCCGCUGGCAACGUAGGACAAGGGUUGCGCUCGUUGCGCCACUUAAGGCAACACCUCACGGCACGAGCUGACGACAGUCGUGCAGCACCUGUGCAGGCUCCCGAAGGAGCCCCGUGUUUCCACGGGUUUACCCUGCAUGUCAAGCCCUGGUAAGGUUCUUCGCGUUGCAUCGAAUUAAGCCACAUGCUCCGCCGCUUGUGCGGGUCCCCGUCAAUUCCUUUGAGUUUUAGCCUUGCGGCCGUACUCCCCAGGCGGGGUGCUUAAUGCGUUCGCGACGGCACGGAAGGGGUUGAUGCCUCCCACACCUAGCACCCAACGUUUACGGCUGGGACUAC